Non-coding RNA from Phascolarctos cinereus (koala), 449 nucleotides. NCBI's taxonomy places the organism in Eukaryota, Metazoa, Chordata, Mammalia, Diprotodontia, Phascolarctidae. The record is from RefSeq and is a predicted model, not a curated record.
CGUUGCUUCAACAACCACUCCAACUCCAGCUGGCCGGAGGGCUUCUGUGACUGCUACAGCAAUUUGUUUUACUUUUUCCUGCCUGCUUCAUCAGUGCAAUCACAGAACCAGAGAAUUUGAGAAUUGGGAGGGUUCAUAGAGACCAUCAAAUCACACCCAUUCCAAAAGGGAAUCUCCACCCACCCACCUGAUAACCCUUACUUCUGGAACCCAAGCUUUGUAUUUGGGCCAACCUCCACACCCUUCUGAAAGGAAAAGUGGCCCUUGUUUGGUCCUGACUUUUAUUAUCUGGGGUCCUGCUGCUGUUUCUUCUGAGAUCUGAGCACCGUGUUCUUCAAAGACCUCAGGAGCAGCUCAGACCAAAACAGCAUUUUUUAAACCUAACCAGCGGAAAGAUUAGCAAGAAAUCUGAUGCAGAAGGUAAGGUAAACUGCAUUCAUUUUAACUCA